GUAAAAUUAGUUUAUUUUAAAAUACUAAGUUGUGGGCUUAGAGAAAAAAAGUUUUUUAUUUUACU
RNAcentral lists this transfer RNA (65 nucleotides) under Amphioctopus aegina. RNAcentral's name for it is "tRNA-His". The record is from RNAcentral. Lineage: Eukaryota; Metazoa; Mollusca; Cephalopoda; Octopoda; Octopodidae.